This 440-nucleotide ribosomal RNA is filed under the name uncultured bacterium. RNAcentral describes it as "partial 16S ribosomal RNA". It matches the Rfam family "Bacterial small subunit ribosomal RNA", at positions 338 to 795 of the family's 1533-position model. The record is from RNAcentral.
CCUACGGGAGGCUGCAGUGGGGGAUAUUGCACAAUGGGGGGAACCCUGAUGCAGCGACGCCGCGUGGGUGAAGAAGCGCCUCGGCGCGUAAAGCCCUGUCAGCAGGGAAGAAAAUGACGGUACCUGAAGAAGAAGCCCCGGCUAACUACGUGCCAGCAGCCGCGGUAAUACGUAGGGGGCAAGCGUUAUCCGGAUUUACUGGGUGGAAAGGGGGCGCAGACGGCGAUGCAAGCCAGGAGUGAAAGCCCGGGGCCCAACCCCGGGGAUGCUCUUGGAACUGCGUGGCUGGAGUGCAGGAGGGGCAGGCGGAAUUCCUGGUGGAGCGGUGAAAUGCGUAGAUAUCAGGAGGAACACCGGUGGCGAAGGCGGCCUGCUGGACUGCAACUGACGUUGAGGCCCGAAAGCGUGGGGAGCAAACAGGAUUAGAUACCCCUGUAGUC